ACUGCUCAGUAACACGUGGACAAUCUGCCCUUGGGUCUGGGAUAACUCCGGGAAACUGGAGAUAAUACCAGAUAGGUCAUAGAUGCUGGAAUGCUCUAUGGCCCAAAGCUCCGGCGCCCAAGGAUGAGUCUGCGGCCUAUCAGGUUGUAGUGGGCGUAAUGGACCCACUAGCCUACGACGGGUACGGGUUGUGAGAGCAAGAGCCCGGAGAUGGAUUCUGAGACAUGAAUCAGGCCCUACGGGGCGCAGCAGGCGCGAAACCUUUACAAUGCGCGCAAGCGCGAUAAGGGGACCUCGAGUGUUCCUACCUAGUAGGAACUGUCCAGUUGUCUAAAAAACAACUGUUAGCAAGAGCCGGGCAAGACCGGUGCCAGCCGCCGCGGUAACACCGGCGGCUCGAGUGGUGACCGCUUUUAUUGGGUCUAAAGGGUCUGUAGCCGGUCUAACAAGUUCUUUGGAAAAUCUGGUCGCUUAACGAUCAGGCUGCUAGGGGAUACUGUUAGACUUGGGACCGGGAGAGGCUAGAGGUACUUUAGGGGUAGGGGUGAAAUCCUGUGAUCCUUAAAGGACCACCAGUGGCGAAGGCGUCUAGCUAGAACGGAUCCGACGGUGAGGGACGAAAGCUGGGGGCACGAACCGGAUUAGAUACCCGGGUAGUCCCAGCCGUAAACGAUGCGAGCUAGGUGUCAGUUUUACUGCGAGUAAAAUUGGUGCCGUAGGGAAGCCGUGAAGCUCGCCACCUGGGAAGUACGGCCGCAAGGCUGAAACUUAAAGGAAUUGGCGGGGGAGCACUACAACGGGUGGAGCCUGCGGUUUAAUUGGA
Molecule: ribosomal RNA, 823 nt
Filed under: uncultured archaeon
Lineage: Archaea
Description: bacterial SSU rRNA
Rfam family: Archaeal small subunit ribosomal RNA
Source: RNAcentral